RNAcentral lists this ribosomal RNA (490 nucleotides) under uncultured bacterium. RNAcentral describes it as "partial 16S ribosomal RNA". It matches the Rfam family "Bacterial small subunit ribosomal RNA", at positions 30 to 507 of the family's 1533-position model. The record is from RNAcentral.
AUUGAACGCUGGCGGCAUGCUUUACACAUGCAAGUCGAACGGCAGCACGAAAGAGCUUGCUCUUUUGGUGGCGAGUGGCGAACGGGUGAGUAAUGCAUCGGAACGUACCGAGUAAUGGGGGAUAACUGUCCGAAAGGAUAGCUAAUACCGCAUACGCUUUGAGAAGGAAAGUGGGGGCGCUUCGGACCUCACGUUAUUCGAGCGGCCGAUGUCUGAUUAGCUAGUUGGUGGGGUAAAGGCCUACCAAGGCGACGAGCAGUAGCGGGUCUGAGAGGAUGGUCGGCCACACUGGGACUGAGACACGGCCCAGACUCCUACGGGAGGCAGCAGUGGGGAAUUUUGGACAAAGGGCGCAAGCCUGAUCCAGCCAUGCCGAGUGUGUGAAGAAGGCCUUCGGGUUGUAAAGGACUUUUGUUAGGGAAGAAAAGGAUAGUGUUAAUACCAUUAUCUGCUGACGGUACCUAAAGAAUAAGCACCGGCUAACUACGUG